AGUGAACGCUGGCGGUAGGCCUAACACAUGCAAGUCGAACGGCAGCACAGUAAGAGCUUGCUCUUACGGGUGGCGAGUGGCGGACGGGUGAGGAAUACAUCGGAAUCUAUUUUUUCGUGGGGGAUAACGUAGGGAAACUUACGCUAAUACCGCAUACGACCUACGGGUGAAAGCAGGGGAUCUUCGGACCUUGCUCGAUUGAAUGAGCCGAUGUCGGAUUAGCUAGUUGGCGGGGUAAAGGCCCACCAAGGCGACGAUCCGUAGCUGGUCUGAGAGGAUGAUCAGCCACACUGGAACUGAGACACGGUCCAGACUCCUACGGGAGGCAGCAGUGGGGAAUAUUGGACAAAGGGCGCAAGCCUGAUCCAGCCAUACCGCGUGGGUGAAGAAGGCCUUCGGGUUGUAAAGCCCUUUUGUUGGGAAAGAAAAGCAGCAGGUUAAUACCCCGCUGUUCUGACGGUACCCAAAGAAUAAGCACCGGCUAACUUCGUG
Molecule: ribosomal RNA, 492 nt
Filed under: uncultured bacterium
Lineage: Bacteria
Description: partial 16S ribosomal RNA
Rfam family: Bacterial small subunit ribosomal RNA
Source: RNAcentral